GAUGAAAAACGUAGCGAAAUGCGAUAAGUAGUGUGAAUUGCAGAAUUCAGUGAAUCAUCGAAUCUUUGAACGCACAUUGCGCCCCAUGGUAUUCCGUGGGGCAUGCCUGUUCGAGCGUCAUUUACCCCCUCAAGCUCCGCUUGGUGUUGGGCGUCUGUCCCGCUUCGCGCGCGGACUCGCCCCAAAGGUAUUGGCAGCGGUCGUGCCAGCUUCUCGCGCAGCACAUUGCGCUUCUCGAGGCACCGGUGGGCCCGCGUCCAUCAAGCUCACCCCCCCAGUUUGACCUCGGAUCAGGUAGGGAUACCCGCUGAACUUAAGCAUAUCAAUAAGCGGAGGA
RNAcentral lists this unclassified non-coding RNA (337 nucleotides) under soil metagenome. Its description in RNAcentral is "partial contains 5.8S ribosomal RNA, internal transcribed spacer 2, and large subunit ribosomal RNA". The stretch from base 1 to 120 matches the Rfam family "5.8S ribosomal RNA", at positions 35 to 154 of the family's 154-position model. The record is from RNAcentral.